AAACUUUACAGGUACUGGAAAGUGGAUAAGCAGUUGCAGAGGGAGAGGGCAGACGGACGGGCCUUAACUCGGUGCAUUCAGGAGUUGAGGAUGAAGGGGGAAAGCUUUGAUCUGUCUACAGAGCCUCAGAUUGGGAAGAGAAUGAAGAGUUCCAGUGUGGAAAUUAAAUGGAAGCCUCUCACUUGGUUUUCUCAGUAUAGACUCACUAUUUGUCUUGUGUGUUUUACUGGCUUGAUCUUCUCUGCCUGUAGAUUCAUCCUCUGUGCCUAAAUUCUCGAGACCAGCCCGAAGAGAUCAAGAUCAGGGAAUACAGCAGUUACUUCUCUCCAUUUCUUACAAGGGAUGAAGCAUUAUGGUCCGAUAAUUCCACCAAUUCAUGAGUUCUCACAACAAGCAGACAAAAUCCUUAUGGUGUCAAAAAAGAAAAUCACAAGACCCUCCACAAUGUAUCGGAGAUUUGAUCCCUCUUUAAGACAAAGAUUCCCUGGUUCUAAUCGUAAGCCGAAAGGGAAAUACUUAUUCCCAAGAACCUCAGCUGGAGCUUAAAAUUUGGCUACUUCAAACUCUCCUCUUCUUGUUGAUC
Long non-coding RNA from Olea europaea var. sylvestris, 583 nucleotides. RefSeq lists it as uncharacterized. NCBI's taxonomy places the organism in Eukaryota, Viridiplantae, Streptophyta, Magnoliopsida, Lamiales, Oleaceae. The record is from RefSeq and is a predicted model, not a curated record. The transcript has 2 exons.